AUUGAACGCUGGCGGCAGGCCUAACACAUGCCAGUCGAGCGGAUGAAGGGAGCUUGCUCCUGGAUUCAGCGGCGGACGGGUGAGUAAUGCCUAGGAAUCUGCCUGGUAGUGGGGGAUAACGUCCGGAAACGGGCGCUAAUACCGCAUACGUCCUGAGGGAGAAAGUGGGGGAUCUUCGGACCUCACGCUAUCAGAUGAGCCUAGGUCGGAUUAGCUAGUUGGUGGGGUAAAGGCCUACCAAGGCGACGAUCCGUAACUGGUCUGAGAGGAUGAUCAGUCACACUGGAACUGAGACACGGUCCAGACUCCUACGGGAGGCAGCAGUGGGGAAUAUUGGACAAUGGGCGAAAGCCUGAUCCAGCCAUGCUGCGUGUGUGAAGAAGGUCUUCGGAUUGUAAAGCACUUUAAGUUGGGAGGAAGGGCAGUAAGUUAAUACCUUGCUGUUUUGACGUUACCAACAGAAUAAGCACCGGCUAACUUCGUG
This 484-nucleotide ribosomal RNA is filed under the name uncultured bacterium. RNAcentral's name for it is "partial 16S ribosomal RNA". It matches the Rfam family "Bacterial small subunit ribosomal RNA", at positions 30 to 507 of the family's 1533-position model. The record is from RNAcentral.